This is a long non-coding RNA of Chinchilla lanigera (long-tailed chinchilla), 347 nucleotides long. RefSeq lists it as uncharacterized. The record is from RefSeq and is a predicted model, not a curated record. The transcript has 2 exons. NCBI's taxonomy places the organism in Eukaryota, Metazoa, Chordata, Mammalia, Rodentia, Chinchillidae.
UUGCCCAAAGCAAACCAAAAAGUUAAAACCAUGAAGACAUUCCCAUAGAGAACAACCGGCUUCAGAACCAAUGUAACUUAAAGUGUUGGCAGUGGCGGUAUACCUCAUGAUCUCAGUGCGCCGGGCAGCUGAGACAGGGGCAAGGAAGAAAUUCCGAACUCCGCAGCAAUCUUGAAACAGUGAGGACAUAGAGACUCUAGCAAGUUCUCAGGAGGAGACCCACUUAGACUGUGCAUGCAAAUAUUCUACUGGGAGACCCUGCUCUUUAUAUUUGCCAUGAGUCAAAUGGGCAUAUCAAAAUGAGCCUCCCCCUUCCCCAGCUAAUAAAUAGUGAACGUUCCAUGCCA